RNAcentral lists this ribosomal RNA (253 nucleotides) under uncultured bacterium. RNAcentral describes it as "partial 16S ribosomal RNA". It matches the Rfam family "Bacterial small subunit ribosomal RNA", at positions 524 to 776 of the family's 1533-position model. The record is from RNAcentral.
UACGAAGGGGGCUAGCGUUGCUCGGAAUCACUGGGCGUAGAGGGUGCGUAGGCGGGGUUUUAAGUCAGGGGUGAAAUCCUGGAGCUCAACUCCAGAACUGCCUUUGAUACUGAAGAUCUUGAGUCCGGGAGAGGUGAGUGGAACUGCGAGUGUAGAGGUGAAAUUCGUAGAUAUUCGCAAGAACACCAGUGGCGAAGGCGGCUCACUGGCCCGGUACUGACGCUGAGGCACGAAAGCGUGGGGAGCAAACAGG